UAUUAACUUAUUAUUCAUGUCAAUUAACUUAUGAUCAUAAGAUAUUAAAAAUAUAUUUUUUUAAACUAAUAAGAGAGGUGGAUUUAGACAUGUUAAAUAUUUUAUUUUUAAUUCAAAUUCCAUACAGUGUGAUGGCAAGAUUUGCUUUAAGUUUAACAUUAAAAGCGUUGUUUCAAAGUUUUGGAAAUCUGUUAAAAAAUUUUUCUAGGAGUAGUUAGUUAGUUUCAACAUCAAUAGGUUUCUAAUGUUAACUAGACAAGUCCAAUUCACUCCGAUUGCAUUAUUGCAUGCCAUGGACCAUGAUCAUACCAACUUUACCUGUAGCUUGUUGGUAGGUGUGUCCGUAGAUGUAUUUGAGGGUUUGUUGUCUUAAGUAUAGUUUUAAUGCCACCCUUAUCUAUUUUCCCCCUCCUGUUAAAAAAUAAUGUAUUAUUGAUAAUUAUUUAGUUCAAAAAGUUUUCAACUACUGACAAACACUCGAUAAUUUUUAUAAAAGUACAUUUGAAGUUUAUAGGUUUCAGAUAUCAUAAAAUGAUUGUUCAUGUUAGGAACUUUAAAUACCUUUAUAAAAACAAGUGUAUUUUUAAUGGUUCAUUUUAAUAAAGUUGAAUCACUUUGUUUUUUUUAAUAUUAAAAAAUAUGGGCAAGAGUAGGUACCUCUCUGCUGUACGGUAGAUAAUCACUAAGUAUUUCAUAUUUUGUUUUUUGAUAUUGCUAACAGGUAAAGUAAUUUAUUUAAAUAUUAGUAAUGAAGUAGCUUAAAUUAAUUUUUACCAAAACUAUUGCAUUUAAAAAUAUAAUUUUGUGUAUAAAAUGUAUUAAUAUAUUAUACAUAAAAGUUUCAUGUCUCCACGAAUAAUGAUUUGAACUUUGACAAAUAUUGUUGUUGUUUAUUAUGCCUAAUAGGACCUUGCUCGUUAGGUUAGCAUAUUAUGUGUUGGAUGCAUAUUUGCUAGAAAAACUUCAGACCUUACUCAAAUAUUUUGAGGAUAUUUAUGUGGAAAGAUUAAAUUAAAAUGAAUAUGGACAAAGUAUAUUUUCACUAUAAAUUUAGAGUUUAAAUUAAUGAGUUUUAAAUGGUAACAAUAUAGGUACACAUAACAAAUAAUCAUUCAGAGGUUGCCAACCAAAGAAUAUAUGUUGAAAUGGAAAUGGUCUAUUCUACAUUAUAUUCAUUCAUAACGUGCUUAAAUGCUUAAAAAAGAUUCAAGUUGAAAGGGAUACAUAUUAUUUAUUUAAAUUUAAUUCAGUGCCAUUGCAAAAUUGCUCGCAGAGUAAAAAAAAACUUACGAAAUGUAUAAAAUAAACAAGGUUUGCUAAUAAAAAAUGUCCGUUUAGUCUAUGUAUCCCGCGACCCGCAAGUAUUUGAAUUGCACAUUAUUCACACAUUUGACGGACCUACCAUAGAUGCACUGUGACAAUAAAUUUAACGACAUAUUCGCAGAUAUGUACCUAUAAUGAAAAUAAAAAUCCGAAACAUCUCCUUACAAACGUGCCCGAUAUGGUACAACUAAGCUACGUAUUGUACCGCUGCGAACUAAUUUGCACUUAGUCUAGACCCGUAAUAGCCGCUGCCCACGUUGAAUCAAUAAACGAUCGUUGCAGAUGUUUAAUACCUACAAAAAUUGGUUUACGUUUCAGAUACAUAAUAAUAUAAUGUCACGAUAUGUGUUCAUUGUCGCAAAUUGCAACUUACGACGUCAAAUUUCAACCAUUGCGGUAAUAUUGUAAUACCUACACUCAGACACUCGUGCGCACUAAGUACAUACGGCGACAUUGUACGAUUUUAUUAUAUUAUUAUAAAGUACGUACCUAUAUAAUUAUAUAUAAUUACCAGAUCACAAUAUGACAAAACAAGUAACAACAUCAAUAACUUAAUGACGUUUAAUGCGCUUAUGCGUUUGGGUAAGUUUGUACUGUAUUGUAUACGCUUUUAUAUAGAUCGACGGAGAUCAUGUUAUUAUAAUUAUUACAUUAUUACAAUUCAAUCUACAUUAUACGAGUAUAUACCUUGUACAGAUUGUUAUAAAUAUUUAAUAAUAUUAUUAUACCGCCGAUACGCGUGCAUAAAUUACGUUUUGUUAAUUAAUAUCGAGAUUUUGAAUUGCCACGAGACGUCGUCGAUAUUUUGAACGAUUAUAC
This is a long non-coding RNA of Aphis gossypii (cotton aphid), 2142 nucleotides long. RefSeq lists it as uncharacterized. NCBI's taxonomy places the organism in Eukaryota, Metazoa, Arthropoda, Insecta, Hemiptera, Aphididae. The transcript is spliced from 4 exons. The record is from RefSeq and is a predicted model, not a curated record.